GUCAAUAUAGACUUUAUUUAGAAAGUUGGGUGAUGUUACUUCCUUUUUUGUUUUCUUUAACGACUUCUGUUUGAACGAGGCUAAGUGACUUAAUGCUACUUUAAAGAAUUCAAUUGUAUUAGAAAUCAACAAUUUUCGAUUGGGUGGAUAUCAAAAUAAAGAAUGUCAGACAAUUUUUCGAAUUUAUCCGCAAUAACAGUGCUGAAAAAAAUAAUUUCAAUAGAGGAUUUUUAAGGGUCAGAUAAUAUUAAGAAACUACAGAGUCUCAACAGACUUAGACAGGGCCAAUAACUAUGGCUGACUGCAGCUGCGUUCACUUACAUGACCUUGAUUUGAAAUAUAACAAAGAGAAUGAUGCAACGUUCGUAACAACGAAGGCAGUUGAAACCAUUACAAAAUCAGUAAUUGAAAGAAUCACAACAACAAUUAUUGGCAAACCUGGAAUUGGUAAAACCUCCACAAUAAUCCAUGUUGCUCUGAAAAUGAGGAAAAAUAAUGGUUACAGAGUUAUUCUGUGUCAUAGUCCAUCUGAUAUUGAAGCACAUUUUAGGGCAAACAAAACUCAAUUAUUUAUCCUUGAUGAUGUACAAUGUAUGUGGAAGAUACACAAUUAAUCAAUCCGCUGUAGAAGAAUGGAUGAAACAUGAACAAACCAUUUUGCGUAUCUUAAGUACAAGAAAAGUGAAGCUGCUUAUUUCAUGCCGAUUGCAAAUUUAUCACGAGAAACAAUUUCAGCUACUCAAAUUUUUCACUGAGAACUUCUAUAAUCUUUCUUCAGAGGAAUUCUGUCUUUCAGCUGAAAUACGACUUAAAGUUGCAAAGAAAUAUUUACCGGUUAAUGCUGUAAAACUGAUAGAUAACAAUUAUCUUAUGAAAUUUGGCAUAUUUCCUUUGAUGUGCUCAUUGUAUAAGAAUAAUCCGAACAUAAAAGUUAGUGAGUAUUUUGAAAAUCCAUACAAUUUUUAUUUGAAUGAUAUCGAAAUACUUAAAAAACAAAGCGAUAAACGCAAAUUAUGUGCUUUACUUUUGUACGUCUUACACAAUGGUUUCUUGAGUGAGUCAAAGAUAAGUACAACCAGUAGAUCCUACUAUGAAAAUAUUUUUGAUGAAAUUGGUCUAAAUCGGGGCACUCCAGUUUGUGACAUUGUGGAACAAUUGGACACACUUGACCAUACCUAUCUAAUAAUAAUCAAGUC
This is a long non-coding RNA of Mytilus californianus (California mussel), 1196 nucleotides long. RefSeq lists it as uncharacterized. The transcript has 3 exons. The record is from RefSeq and is a predicted model, not a curated record. NCBI's taxonomy places the organism in Eukaryota, Metazoa, Mollusca, Bivalvia, Mytilida, Mytilidae.